Molecule: ribosomal RNA, 1392 nt
Filed under: Corynebacterium striatum
Lineage: Bacteria; Bacillati; Actinomycetota; Actinomycetes; Mycobacteriales; Corynebacteriaceae
Description: partial 23S ribosomal RNA
Rfam family: Bacterial large subunit ribosomal RNA
Source: RNAcentral
CGAUGAAGGACGUGAAAGGCUGCGUUAAGCCUCGGGGAGUUGUCAAUUGAGCGUUGAUCCGAGGAUGUCCGAAUGGGGAAACCUGGCACCUGUUAUGGGGUGUUACCUUGCAGUGAAUUCAUAGCUGUUGUGGGGGUUACGCGGGGAAGUGAAACAUCUCAGUACCCGUAGGAGAAGAAAAUAAUAAUGAUUCUGCUAGUAGUGGCGAACGAACGUGGAUGAGGCUAAACCGUGUGCAUGUGAUACCUGGUAGGGGUUGUGUGUGCGGUGUUGUGGGCCCUGAUGAGGAUGGCUACUGACGUCCUGCCUGCGCAUUGUUGUUAGGUGAAGUGGUGUGGAAACGCCUGCCGUAGAAGGUGAUAGUCCUGUAGCUGAAGAUGAUGGUGUGUGGGUUGUUGGGUUGCCCGAGUAGCAGCGGGCUCGUGGAAUCUGCUGUGAAUCUGCCGGGACCACCCGGUAAGCCUAAAUACUCAGUGUGACCGAUAGUGGAUAGUACCGUGAGGGAAUGGUGAAAAGUACCCCGGGAGGGGAGUGAAAUAGUUCCUGAAACCAUGUGCUUACAAUCCGUCAGAGCACUUUUUGUGUGUGAUGGCGUGCCUUUUGAAGAAUGAGCCUGCGAGUCAGCGGCAUGUCGCGAGGUUAACCCGUGUGGGGUAGCCGUAGGGAAACCGAAUCCUAAUGGGGUGUUUAGUGGCAUGUCCUGGACCCGAAGCGGGGUGAUCUACCCAUGGCCAGUGUGAAGCAGCAGUAAGAUGCUGUGGAGGCGCGAACCCACGUAGGUUGAAAACUGCGGGGAUGAGCUGUGGGUAGGGGUGAAAGGCCAAUCAAACUCCGUGAUAGCUGGUUCUCCCCGAAAUGCAUUUAGGUGCAGCGUCGCAUUAGCUUGGUGGAGGUAGAGCUACUGGUUGGUUGAGCGGGACUACAAUCUUAGCAAUGUCAGCCAAACUCCGAAUGCCAUUAAUGUGUUGUGCGGCAGUGAGACUGUGGGGGAUAAGCUUCAUAGUCGAGAGGGAAACAGCCCAGAUCGCCGGUUAAGGCCCCUAAGGGUGUGCUAAGUGGAAAAGGAUGUGGGAUCGCGAAGACAGCCAGGAGGUUGGCUUAGAAGCAGCCAUCCUUGAAAGAGUGCGUAAUAGCUCACUGGUCGAGUGGUUCUGCGCCGACAAUGUAGUGGGGCUCAAGCACACCGCCGAAGCCGCGGCAAUAAUAUUUUGUUAUUGGGUAGGGGAGCGUCGUGCACGUGUUGAAGCGUUACCGUGAGGAGGCGUGGAGUGUGUGCGAGUGAGAAUGCAGGCAUGAGUAACGAAUUGGAAGGUGAGAAUCCUUCCCGCCGGAUGACUAAGGGUUCCUGGGUCAAGUUCGUCUUCCCAGGGUGAGUCGGGACCUAAGGCGAGG